Molecule: ribosomal RNA, 253 nt
Filed under: uncultured bacterium
Lineage: Bacteria
Description: partial 16S ribosomal RNA
Rfam family: Bacterial small subunit ribosomal RNA
Source: RNAcentral
UACGGAGGGUGCAAGCGUUAUCCGGAUUUACUGGGUUUAAAGGGUGCGUAGGCGGGCAGGUAAGUCAGAGGUGAAAUCUCCGAGCUUAACUCGGAAACUGCCUUUGAUACUAUUUGUCUUGAAUAUUGUGGAGGUAAGCGGAAUAUGUCAUGUAGCGGUGAAAUGCUUAGAUAUGACAUAGAACACCUAUUGCGAAGGCAGCUUACUACGCAUAUAUUGACGCUGAGGCACGAAAGCGUGGGGAUCAAACAGG